AAGAAGAAGAAGUGAAGUUCCUGGAUCGAGAUGGCGUCUCGUCGCUACGGUUCUCUCUCUCUGUGUUCCCGAUAACGUGUGUGUGAGCUCCAGCACUACUGAUCCAUCAUCUGUGUGUCUGGAUAAACCUCCGAAUAGACUCUGUGUUAUUUUAUUCUGGAGCGUUUACCUCGGACUAUAGGAGCUAGCUUAGCAUGCUAGCUAGCUGGAAACACGUUAGCAACACUAGUCAGAUUGAGAGUUUUAUGGAGAGAGAAACGGUGUGUUUAACGGAGUUUGCAGGAAAAGGUGAUCUAGUAAACAUGAGUAAAGUCCAAAUGCACGUGGAGGAGCUGUCUCUUUCCAAAGAGGAGAACGAGAGACUCCAGAAACGACUGGACGCUGUUUUACAGCCUUAGCUUCGGAUACACAGAGCAGACAUCCCCAACCAUAGUGGAAUGCUGUUGUAAAGGAUUGCAUUGAUCCGUGCAUCAAUACCUUCACCCAGCUUUGAGGCCUCCAAUGAAUGAACAUCAUCUUGUGGCUGGGAAAAAUGUGAACAAAUAAAUCUCACAAAGAGUGA
Long non-coding RNA from Gymnodraco acuticeps, 562 nucleotides. RefSeq lists it as uncharacterized. NCBI's taxonomy places the organism in Eukaryota, Metazoa, Chordata, Actinopteri, Perciformes, Bathydraconidae. The transcript has 2 exons. The record is from RefSeq and is a predicted model, not a curated record.